This 1221-nucleotide long non-coding RNA is filed under the name Homo sapiens (human). RNAcentral describes it as "small nucleolar RNA host gene 17, transcript variant 54 (SNHG17)". The record is from RNAcentral. Lineage: Eukaryota; Metazoa; Chordata; Mammalia; Primates; Hominidae.
AGUCCUUCGCCGUCCCUCGCCGUCCUUCGCCAUCGCACGCCACCGCACCCCAUCUCUCGAAAUCUGCAGACAUCUUGAUUUUUCCCACGCUGUCUGUCAGGUCUCCGCCGCCACUCGACGCCAGGGCGCCGGGUGAGUCCACAGCAGGGCGCAUGGUCGGCUCCACUCUCACCAUCGGGGGAAACUGAGGCCCCGGGGAAGGCGGCCAGAGAGGUCAGGCCCUGUCCUUGGUGCAGUGUCUCGUCCUCUUUGCCGGAGUGAGCCCCCCAGGAUUCGCGUGUCCUCGGGAAAGACACUGGCAGGCCUUGUGGGCUGUGCUGCACCUCGGACGGCUUCGCACCAGCCAGCGCCCUCUCUCUCCUGCAGCACUCUGAUCUGCACCCCCUGAGGGGCUUCCACUGUCCGCGGGGUGAGAAUGCCCCUGGGAGUGUCACAUGACUGCCGCCCCAUGUGUGUGAGAGGCGUCCUCUGGGAGAGCAUGGAUCCUGAGGUCCCAGGAACAUCCCGAGAGCCAAGUUCCCAGAUGCCAGCCAAGGGCCAUCUGACCUGUUUUGAAUCUCAAUUUCCUGAUACAGAAAACAAAGGAUUGUCAGCUGACCUCUGUCCUGUGUGCCCAGUGGCCCCAGGUGACGUGUCUUCAAGAAGAGGCUGAGCUGCGGUGCUUGUAAGAGUCAUGUGCUGUUCCUGGGGCUUGGAUGAUGUAGGGGAAGCAAGGUGAAAGUGGUAUCCCGUGGUUCCACGUUCUGUCCUGCUGUGGGGCUGUCCCUCACAUGCUUUCAGUGGCUGUUGCAGAGGAAGAGCCUCCGGAAAUCUGCGUCUCAGCCUUAGAUCCAAGGACAGUCCAAGGAAGUCCUAAGACCAUGGAGUUGGUGAUCUGGGAUCUGGGUUUGCUGAUAUUUCUCACCGUGAAUCUCUUGGUGGUGUUUGUGGGCACGAGAGGGGCAGAGAAUGGAGAGUGAGGCUACCACAUGAAGCGUCACCAGAGCUGCUCCCUGCUGCCUGCUCAGAGCACCCCGGAUCCACUGUUCAAUCUGCACAAGAUUCGGGGUCCAGACAUGGGAGACUUCAGCUGCCUCAGAGGACCGUGGACAGGGAAGGCCAGCCUCGCAUCCCUCUGUCCAUGCCUGGAAUGACUUUAAUAACCAAGAGUUUUAUUUUUGAAUUUGUAGCUGUCGUUCACUUUUUACCCACCCAUUCAAUAAACCUUACAGAAUUGCUCCA